UACAGAGGGGGCAAGCGUUAUUCGGAAUUAUUGGGCGUAAAGGGCGCGUAGGCGGCCAUUCAAGUGACGGGUGAAAGCCCUCGGCUUAACCGAGGAACUGCCUGUCAGACUGGAUGGCUUGAGACCGGGAGAGGUGAGUGGAAUUCCCAGUGUAGCGGUGAAAUGCGUAGAUAUUGGGAGGAACACCGGUGGUGUAGACGGCUUUCUGGACCGUAACUGACGCUGAGGCGCGACAGCGUGGGGAGCAAACAGG
Molecule: ribosomal RNA, 253 nt
Filed under: uncultured bacterium
Lineage: Bacteria
Description: partial 16S ribosomal RNA
Rfam family: Bacterial small subunit ribosomal RNA
Source: RNAcentral